Molecule: long non-coding RNA, 1012 nt
Filed under: Serinus canaria (Common canary)
Lineage: Eukaryota; Metazoa; Chordata; Aves; Passeriformes; Fringillidae
Description: lncRNA (ENSSCAG00000014925.1)
Source: RNAcentral
CAGCACUUUACUAUUUACCUCCAUGUCUGACACACGUCCUGGUGUUGCUUCACGCCUUCUGCAGUCCCUCUCUGCAGCUGUGGCAGGAACAUCUGGGCACAGCUGGUGGCAGAGCAGGGUCCUGGGGACAGAGCACCAGAGCAACGUGGGGCUGCUCCUCUUCCUCCAUGAGUACCUCCCUUCUUCACCUCUUUGCUUCUGCGGGUCACUGCCCUCCAGCUGGACAGGCAGGAAGAAGCAGCUGGGAUUUUGGGAAGUUUUCACUCAUCCCUGCAGGUUGUGGUUGUGCUGCUGUGAUGGGACAUGGGAAAAAAUUUUUUUUCAAUGCAUUUUAAGACAGUGGCUUGGUAGGAGUUUUCUGAGGGCUGGAAGGAAGAAGGGCUCAGGUAAAUGUUUUCAUUAUUAAACAGACAGGGACUUUGGUGACUAAUAUGAAGGUGUAGAACAGAUACCUACUUGUUAGUCAUGCAGAAGGAAUUCAGGUUAAUUUCUUGCUGAGGAAAGAAAAGGAGAGGAAAACUGGUAAAGAGAAAAUUAUGAAAAAAUACCUGAUGGUGGUAGUGGAAAUAGAUUAAAAGGUUAUUAAAACCUUCAUUUUUCUGCCCUGAUGUAGGAGGCUCUUUAAUUCCUCUGUGUGUCUGCACCCAUGCAAAAGCUCCUCUCUAUCAAGUAGUCAGUCUGUAGAUAUAUGGAAGCAGCAAUUAUUUGUUUACUUUUCUGCAGUGUGACAACUGCAGAUCAUCUAUAAUAUAUAUUUGGAACAAUCAAACCUCUCACUGAGGUGUGUGAGACACCAACUAAGCUGGUGGGGAGACCACGCUGUUGUCAUGAUAGUGUGCAUUUUAAAUUCUGUACGGCUUUUCUCUUAUUGCUGAGAAAUCCUUGUGCUGCAAAACGUUAGGGGAGUUGAAAUUUAUUUCUGUGUAGAAGUAAGAAGUCGCCCUGGGGUCUAGAGUAGUAAUAUGGCUUCUGUUCAUUCAAACUCUUUGUGUGUUUUUGUACUUCAAGUAGC